UACGGAGGGUGCAAGCGUUAUCCGGAUUCACUGGGUUUAAAGGGCGCGUAGGCGGGCUAUCAAGUCCGGGGUGAAAUCCUCCCGCUCAACGGGAGAACUGCCUCGGAUACUGAUGGCCUCGAGGGGGAUAGGGGCACACGGAACUGUGGGUGGAGCGGUGAAAUGCGUUGAUAUCCAUAGGAACUCCGGUGGCGAAAGCGGUGUGCUGGAUCCCUUCUGACGCUGAGGCGCGAAAGCCAGGGGAGCGAACGGG
Molecule: ribosomal RNA, 253 nt
Filed under: uncultured bacterium
Lineage: Bacteria
Description: partial 16S ribosomal RNA
Rfam family: Bacterial small subunit ribosomal RNA
Source: RNAcentral